GACGAACGCUGGCGGCGUGCUUAACACAUGCAAGUCGAACGGAAAGGCCCUGCUUUUGUGGGGUGCUCGAGUGGCGAACGGGUGAGUAACACGUGAGUAACCUGCCCUUGACUUUGGGAUAACUUCAGGAAACUGGGGCUAAUACCGGAUAGGAGCUCCUGCUGCAUGGUGGUGGUUGGAAAGUUUCGGCGGUUGGGGAUGGACUUGCGGCUUAUCAGCUUGUUGGUGGGGUAGUGGCUUACCAAGGCUUUGACGGGUAGCCGGCCUGAGAGGGUGACCGGCCACAUUGGGACUGAGAUACGGCCCAGACUCCUACGGGAGGCAGCAGUGGGGAAUAUUGCACAAUGGGCGGAAGCCUGAUGCAGCAACGCCGCGUGCGGGAUGACGGCCUUCGGGUUGUAAACCGCUUUCGCCUGUGACGAAGCGUGAGUGACGGUAAUGGGUAAAGAAGCACCGGCUAACUACGUG
Molecule: ribosomal RNA, 468 nt
Filed under: uncultured bacterium
Lineage: Bacteria
Description: partial 16S ribosomal RNA
Rfam family: Bacterial small subunit ribosomal RNA
Source: RNAcentral